GCCGCCCGCCCCGUGACCAUCAUGGGGGAGAGGCGGGGCUAGGCUCUGAGUGACGGGAGGAGGCGGCCAAUGGGGUGUGGAGGGUAAAGCCCGACCUGAAACAACGUGUACCAGACUGCAGCUGAUGGCUGAAGAGAUGGAGACUGGAAAACAUCCUUGUCCUGGGGAUAUUGUACAGCAAAAGGAGAGGAAAAAACAAGUUCAGAGAACACAGGAGUCACCACUUCUGCAGAGAGACUGAAUUAAUCUUAUUUUUAAGCUUUUGAGUAGAAUAAACUGUUCAGAACGAAGCGCAACGGGGAGAAAGCACGAAACAACAUUCGAGGAUGAAAGUGGAACUGGAGGGGAAAAACAGAAAGUACAAAGCCAGGUGGCUGCUUGCUGCGAACACUUUUAUUUAUUCAUAAACACAACACACCCCAAACAUUUGGCUGCUUGACAGAAUCCUCAAAAGUCUUGGAAAGGGAUCAGAGUUGUGCUGCUGUGCCGGGUUCCUCUCCCUGCCACAGCUCGGGGAAUAACGCUGCCUUUAAGGACAAGUGUGGAAAUGUCCCUCCCGUGCCAGCAGGAGGUGGCUUUGUCCCCUCAGGGUGGCCUUGGGGACACUUUGGUGCUGCUGUCUGAGGUGCUGAAGCUGCAGAUUCCCCUCACCACGGCCUGGGCCUGGCCAGAAGGAACUGGAAAACCAAACUGGCUGUUAACUGGUUGAAACUGGAGGCUGAAAUUCUCUUUAUUCACAGAGCAGAGGAACUGGAAAACCAAACUGGCUGUUAACUGGUUGAAACUGGAGGCUGAAAUUCUCUUUAUUCACAGAGCAGAGGAACGUGAAUUUUCUGAUAAUUUUGCCUCGUUUCACCGCUGGAAACUCUGGGGGCCACUUGGAAGCUUUUGAGGAUAAAAUGGAUCCACAGCCAGGCUGCAGAGCUCCCAGGCUGUAUUUUCUUGGUGUUUUGUUCAAGUUUUCUCCCUCCAAGCCAGGCUGCUGCACAGGGAAGGUGCCGUGACUCACUGGGCUUGACUGCUGAGCAGCCAAUAUGGAAUUUAAAGAGGCAAAAACUGGCACAAUUCCCUGAAAACAAUGCUGAGUUUCCCAUUUCCCUACAGAUCAAAAAAGCUGGAAUUCACAAGCCAGAACCACAAGAAGAGAAGAUUUGAUGUUUCAAAAGAUAUUUGCUGCUUCCAGGAGGUGAAAACGUGCAGGGUGAUGAUCCCGAGCUGGACCAUUUCUUCUGAAUUACCACGAGAGGGACACAGAAGGAAACGAAAGGAGCUGGGGAAGAAAGAAUCCAAGGAACAGCUCGAGAUUUAAUUGGGGAUAAAUAUUCCCAGAACAAAUCACAGGGAUGUAACUCCAGGAAGGAAAAGGAGAAGAUGAUUUUGGCCAAAAUCCAGGGAUUUGGAAUGAAGAAAAUUCAUAGAAAUUAAGGAUGGGCCACCACCAGAGUCAGGAUUCACAUUCCACAGGUGCUCUGAUGGAAGUGGAGCCUGCUGGAGUUCCUGGAUUUUGAACGAGGCCUGUGGCAGCACAGCAAACCCAUGGAGGAGUCUGGAAACUCUGGACUGGGGCUGUUUGUACUAAAAACACCACACUGGUCUUGAUUUAUGAACAAACAGGAGUUUGCAAAUGGCUUUGGGAGACUGGUCCAGAAAUCCAUGAGCCUGAUGUCAUGUGGAGAGGGCCCAGAACACAGAAUUAUUUUUAUGGAGCUGUUAGCAAGUGUUAUUAAAAAAAUUGAAAUGUCCAAUUGGAAUUUUUUUUUUUUUUUUUGGCUAUAGGACUAGGGCAGAGCAAAAAGUCCUGGAAUGGAUGUGGACAAGACAUUCCAAUUUUAGGCCACUCUUCCUGGCUGCAGAUGAGAGCAGGGCUUUGCUGGAAGAGGGGAUUGCAAAAGGGGAUGUGAGGGAGGUCUGGAGAGCAAUAAUUUUAAGCAGCACUUCAGCCAUGAUGUCAUUUCAGCUGAAAAAUAAUGUUCAAGUUUGGGCAAGAAGAACCCAGGGCCAGCAGCCAGGGUGGGGAGGAACUGCAGCAAAAUGG
This is a long non-coding RNA of Cinclus cinclus, 2035 nucleotides long. RefSeq lists it as uncharacterized. The record is from RefSeq and is a predicted model, not a curated record. The transcript has 5 exons. NCBI's taxonomy places the organism in Eukaryota, Metazoa, Chordata, Aves, Passeriformes, Cinclidae.